UUUUAGAGAGAGAGAAAGGAUAGUUAGAGAGAGAAAGGAGAGGAUCCAACAAGUUGAAGGCCUCAAAUCCCAAGGCUCGUGAAGGAUAAAGUGUAGUACAAGUUCUUGCCGUCGUUCUAAGCUACAAAUCAAACUUUGGAAGUUGAUUUCGUGGUGGAUGCUCACAAAAGAUCAAAGUUGAAAGGGGUGACGAACAUUGUAUUACGCUCAAAGGCUGGAAUUAAGGUAACGAUACACAGGUUGACGACUCAGCUAAUUAGGAGUGCACAUAUCAGCUAUUGGUGAGCCCCACAUUCAUUCGGGGCGUUGUCAGCUAUCCAGUUAUUUCAGUUUAUAGACAGCUCUAUUAUUCAGUACUCUUAGAGGCUUCAUAGACACAGUUCAGAUAGUCAGAUAUUUAUUAUGUUAGCCU
Long non-coding RNA from Lycium barbarum (goji berry), 412 nucleotides. RefSeq lists it as uncharacterized. The record is from RefSeq and is a predicted model, not a curated record. The transcript is spliced from 3 exons. NCBI's taxonomy places the organism in Eukaryota, Viridiplantae, Streptophyta, Magnoliopsida, Solanales, Solanaceae.